UCAAAUUUGAAAUCUGGCAUCUUUGGUGUCCGAAUUGUAAUUUGGAGAGGCAACUUCAGGUAGGACCCAGUCUAUGUUCCUUGGAACAGGACGUCAUAGAGGGUGAGAAUCCCGUUCUUGACUGGAUGUUCUUGCUAGUAUGUAGUGCCUUCUACGAGUCGAGUUGUUUGGGAAUGCAGCUCAAAAUGGGUGGUAAAUUUCAUCUAAAGCUAAAUAUUGGCGAGAGACCGAUAGCGCACAAGUAGAGUGAUCGAAAGAUGAAAAGCACUUUGAAAAUAGAGUCAAAAAGUACGUGAAAUUGUUGAAAGGGAAGCGCUUGAGACCAGACUCAGCCUUUGGCAAACAAGUGUCCUUCUGGGCAGUGCACUUGCCUCAGGUUGGGCCAGUAUCAGUUAGGAUGGUAGGAGAAAGGCUAGGGGAAUGUGACUCCUAUCUGGAGUGUUAUAGACCCCGGCGUCAUGCUACCUGUCCUGACUGUGGACCGCGCGUUAGCUAGGAUACUGGCGUAAUGGUCUUCAGCGGCCCGUCUU
RNAcentral lists this ribosomal RNA (530 nucleotides) under Tuber indicum. RNAcentral describes it as "partial large subunit ribosomal RNA". It matches the Rfam family "Eukaryotic large subunit ribosomal RNA", at positions 109 to 655 of the family's 3401-position model. The record is from RNAcentral. Lineage: Eukaryota; Fungi; Ascomycota; Pezizomycetes; Pezizales; Tuberaceae.